RNAcentral lists this ribosomal RNA (796 nucleotides) under uncultured bacterium. Its description in RNAcentral is "bacterial SSU rRNA". It matches the Rfam family "Bacterial small subunit ribosomal RNA", at positions 642 to 1437 of the family's 1533-position model. The record is from RNAcentral.
UAGAGUGCUGUAGGGGAGACUGGAAUUCNUGGUGUAGCGGUGGAAUGCGCAGAUAUCAGGAGGAACACCGAUGGCGAAGGCAGGUCUCUGGGCAGUAACUGACGCUGAGGAGCGAAAGCAUGGGGAGCGAACAGGAUUAGAUACCCUGGUAGUCCAUGCUGUAAACGGUGGGCGUUAGGUGUGGGGACCGGUUUGGUUUCUGUGCCGUAGCUAACGCAUUAAGCGCCCCGCCUGGGGAGUACGGCCGCAAGGCUAAAACUCAAAGGAAUUGACGGGGGCCCGCACAAGCGGCGGAGCAUGUGGAUUAAUUCGAUGCAACGCGAAGAACCUUACCUGGGUUUGACAUGCACCAGACGGUUGUAGAGAUACGUACCUCCCUUUGUGGUUGGUGUGCAGGUGGUGCAUGGUUGUCGUCAGCUCGUGUCGUGAGAUGUUGGGUUAAGUCCCGCAACGAGCGCAACCCUUGUCUUAUGUUGCCAGCACUUUGGGUGGGGACUCAUGAGAGACUGCCGGGGUUAACUCGGAGGAAGGUGGGGAUGACGUCAAAUCAUCAUGCCCUUUAUGCCCAGGGCUUCACACAUGCUACAAUGGUUAGUACAACGCGCUGCGAACCUGUGAGGGUGAGCGAAUCGCUGAAAGCUAAUCUCAGUUCGGAUUGGGGUCUGCAACUCGACCCCAUGAAGUCGGAGUCGCUAGUAAUCGCAGAUCAGCAAUGCUGCGGUGAAUACGUUCCCGGGCCUUGUACACACCGCCCGUCACGUCAUGAAAGUUGGUAACACCCGAAGCCCAUGGCCUA